AUGUAUGUAUGUUAAAAACUUUGAUAUUGUUCAAGAACUUGGGAUACUCUGUUUUUGUUUUUUACUUUCUUUUUUCCUUUGCUUAUGUUUGAGUAAUUUCUGUUAACAAAUUUGUAAAUUCACAGAUUCUUUCCUGAGUUGCUUUGAGUUGGCUAUCAAGUCUGUCAAGAGUUGUGGAGAAGAUGAUCGAAGAAAAUGCCUUGAAAAACAGCAAAUUUCUACAAAUGUAUGGUGCUAUCAUUGACCGUAGUAGGGCCCAGCAUAUAGUACACAGAGUGUUUACUGGGUAUAAUUAUGGAUACUGAAGAAUAAACAGAGAAAGGAACAGACAUAGAAACCCACAAAAGUUGAAUAAAAUGUAGACUCACAUAACUUAUGUGGAUAUAUACUUUUCCUCAUUACAAGAAAAUAAAUUACCAAAAAGAUAUGAAUGUUGAAUAAUAUAAGAACACUAUCUUUUUCAUUUAUGAAAUAUAAACAAUGCAAAAAGCACCUCUAUUAUUUGUGCAGUCAUUUCUGAACGUGUCCAAGCUGGAAUAAGUGGUAGACUGGCUGGGCUGAUUUACACUGGGAAGGGCACAGUAAGUACAGAAGAAAUGACCUUAAGGGGAGAAGGGAGUGAUGAGGGAAACAAAAGUCUGUGUGGUGGAUUUGAAAGUGAGGGAUCAUUUGAGAAAAGAGAU
Molecule: long non-coding RNA, 683 nt
Filed under: Callithrix jacchus (white-tufted-ear marmoset)
Lineage: Eukaryota; Metazoa; Chordata; Mammalia; Primates; Cebidae
Description: lncRNA (ENSCJAG00000084606.1)
Source: RNAcentral